RNAcentral lists this unclassified non-coding RNA (200 nucleotides) under Capronia sp. RNAcentral describes it as "partial internal transcribed spacer 2". Lineage: Eukaryota; Fungi; Ascomycota; Eurotiomycetes; Chaetothyriales; Herpotrichiellaceae. The record is from RNAcentral.
UUAAGUUCAGCGGGUAUCCCUACCUGAUCCGAGGUCAACCUUAAGAAAGGUUUUCCCACUUAAGGGAGUAAGACCGGGGCUCGGGCACCCUUAAUCCGAUACGUGCUCAGUUAAGAAGCUCAUUGUACCGGGGGUUCCACAAGUCCGCCGUCAUUGUCUUUAGGAGGGGUCUAAGCAAGAGCAUAACCAAACCAUCCAAC